This 253-nucleotide ribosomal RNA is filed under the name uncultured bacterium. Its description in RNAcentral is "partial 16S ribosomal RNA". It matches the Rfam family "Bacterial small subunit ribosomal RNA", at positions 524 to 776 of the family's 1533-position model. The record is from RNAcentral.
GACAUAGGUGGCGAACGUUAUCCGGAAUUAUUGGGCGUAAAGGGUGCGUAGAUGGUUUUAAAAGCUAUUAGUAGAAAACUAAGGCCUAACCUUAGGAAAGCUAGUAAUACUAUAAGGCUAGAGUGCAGGAGAAGUUAACGGAAUUCCUUGUGGAGCGGUGAAAUGCGUAGAUAUCGGGAGGAACACCUGAGGCGAAGGCGGGCUACUGGGCCGAUACUGACGCUGAGGCGCGAAAGCCAGGGGAGCAAACGGG